GUGCUCACUUCAACAGCACACAUACUAAAGUUGGAACAAUCCUUAAGAAGAUUAGCAUGGCCCCUGCACAAGGAUGACACACAAAUUCAUGAAGUUGUCCAUAUUUCU
Small nuclear RNA from Pteronotus mesoamericanus, 108 nucleotides. The record is from RefSeq and is a predicted model, not a curated record. Lineage: Eukaryota; Metazoa; Chordata; Mammalia; Chiroptera; Mormoopidae.